This 427-nucleotide ribosomal RNA is filed under the name uncultured beta proteobacterium. RNAcentral describes it as "bacterial SSU rRNA". It matches the Rfam family "Bacterial small subunit ribosomal RNA", at positions 355 to 774 of the family's 1533-position model. The record is from RNAcentral. Lineage: Bacteria; Pseudomonadati; Pseudomonadota; Betaproteobacteria.
UGGGGAAUUUUGGACAAUGGGGGCAACCCUGAUCCAGCCAUGCCGCGUGCGGGAAGAAGGCCUUCGGGUUGUAAACCGCUUUUAGCCGGGAAGAAAAGGCAGAGGCUAAUACCUUCUGUUUUUGACGGUACCGGCGGAAUAAGCACCGGCUAACUACGUGCCAGCAGCCGCGGUAAUACGUAGGGUGCGAGCGUUAAUCGGAAUUACUGGGCGUAAAGCGUGCGCAGGCGGUUCGUUGUGUCGGCGGUGAAAGCCCCGGGCUUAACCUGGGAAUGGCCGUUGAAACUGGCGAACUGGAGUGUGGCAGAGGGGGGUGGAAUUCCGCGUGUAGCAGUGAAAUGCGUAGAGAUGCGGAGGAACACCGAUGGCGAAGGCAGCCCCUGGGCUUAACACUGACGCUCAGGCACGAAAGCGUGGGGAGCAAACA